GGGUGACCUGCGGAGGGAUCAUUAUCGAGUUAGGGUCCUCAUAAGGCCCGACCUCCCAACCCUUUGUCUACAAUACCUAGUGUUGCUUCGGUAGGCCUGGUCUAUAUCCUACCGGGGGGCCGUGAAAGGCCUUCUGGGGAGCGCCUACCGAGAAGCUCAACUAUAAAAUUCUUAACUAAACGUGUCUUGUCUGAGUAUGUCUUUUAAUAAAAAGCAAAACUUUCAACAACGGAUCUCUUGGUUCUGGCAUCGAUGAAGAACGCAGCGAAAUGCGAUAAGUAAUGCGAAUUGCAGAAUUCUCGUGAGUCAUCGAAUCUUUGAACGCACAUUGCGCCCUUCGGUAUUCCGAAGGGCAUGCCUGUUCGAGCGUCAUUUUCACCCCUCAAGCCCCCGGCUUGGUGUUGGACGGUUUGGUCUAGGGCCUCCCUAGACCCCUCCCAAAGACAAUGACGGUGGGCUGUUGGACCCCCGGUACACUGAGCAUCUUAACGGAGCACGUAUCGGUUUUACAGGGACGACGGCACCCGGUCACACCUAUUAUCUUUAACAAGGUUGACCUCGGAUCAGGUAGGAAUACCCGCUGAACUUAAGCAUAUCAAUAA
Molecule: ribosomal RNA, 602 nt
Filed under: Rhinocladiella basitona
Lineage: Eukaryota; Fungi; Ascomycota; Eurotiomycetes; Chaetothyriales; Herpotrichiellaceae
Description: eukaryotic LSU rRNA
Rfam family: 5.8S ribosomal RNA (bases 218-372)
Source: RNAcentral